AUUGAACGCUGGCGGCAGGCCUAACACAUGCAAGUCGAGCGGAUGAAGGGAGCUUGCUCCUGGAUUCAGCGGCGGACGGGUGAGUAAUGCCUAGGAAUCUGCCUGGUAGUGGGGGAUAACGUCCGGAAACGGGCGCUAAUACCGCAUAUGUCCUGAGGGAGAAAGUGGGGGAUCUUCGGACCUCACGCUAUCAGAUGAGCCUAGGUCGGAUUAGCUAGUUGGUGGGGUAAAGGCCUACCAAGGCGACGAUCCGUAACUGGUCUGAGAGGAUGAUCAGUCACAGUGGAAGGGAGACAGGGGGCAGAGGCCGGCGGGAGGGAGCAGUGGGGAAGGGUGGACAAGGGGCGGAAGCCUGAGGGAGGCAGGCCGCGUGUGUGAAGAAGGUCUGCGGAUUGGAAAGCACGGUGAGGGGGGAGGAAGGGCAGUAAGUUAAGACCGUGCUGUGUUGACGUUACCAACAGAAUAAGCACCGGCUAACUUCGUG
This 484-nucleotide ribosomal RNA is filed under the name uncultured bacterium. Its description in RNAcentral is "partial 16S ribosomal RNA". It matches the Rfam family "Bacterial small subunit ribosomal RNA", at positions 29 to 507 of the family's 1533-position model. The record is from RNAcentral.